Long non-coding RNA from Chelonoidis abingdonii (Abingdon island giant tortoise), 481 nucleotides. RefSeq lists it as uncharacterized. Lineage: Eukaryota; Metazoa; Chordata; Testudines; Testudinidae. The record is from RefSeq and is a predicted model, not a curated record.
AACAAAUCAGAAUGAAAACGGCAUUAAGAGGCUGUGUUGCAGCACGGGGAAACCAAGAGCAACCCGCAGGAUUCUAAAAAUGUAGCCAAGGCCACCCUCAUCUUUAACAAAGAGGUGUGGUCUUCAGAGAAUAUGAUUCCUGACAUAUGACGCUCCUUUCUGAUCUGGACAGCCUCUGCUGGGUGCAUUUGGAGGAGGAGGAGGAGGAAGUAAAACCUGGUCCUGAACCUGCAUUGAUUGGAGCUACUACUAUGCCAGAUUUGGAGCUUCUAUGAAGCCAAAUAUCCCCGGUUUGGGGCAUCAUAGUUCAAGAGCGAACCCUGGAGCACUAUGGUGCAUAAGUUAUUGGGACUCUUUGAAGGAGAAGUGUUAAAACUCCUAAGACAUCCAGAGGAUGUUGCCAGUCACUCAGACUUCUGUAAUACUAUGUGACAAGGACCUGAUAAGAAUAUAAGAACGGCCAUGCUGUGUCAGACCAAAG